Molecule: ribosomal RNA, 229 nt
Filed under: uncultured bacterium
Lineage: Bacteria
Description: partial 16S ribosomal RNA
Rfam family: Bacterial small subunit ribosomal RNA
Source: RNAcentral
UACGUAGGCGGAAUAUUAAGUCAGUGGUGAAAUCCUGCGGCUCAACCGCAGAACUGCCAUUGAUACUGAUAUUCUUGAAUGUAGUUGAGGUAGGCGGAAUGUGUAAUGUAGCGGUGAAAUGCUUAGAUAUUACACAGAACACCGAUUGCGAAGGCAGCUUACUAAACUAUGAUUGACGCUGAUGUACGAAAGCGUGGGGAGCGAACAGGAUUAGAUACCCUGGUAGUCC